Molecule: ribosomal RNA, 349 nt
Filed under: uncultured bacterium
Lineage: Bacteria
Description: bacterial SSU rRNA
Rfam family: Bacterial small subunit ribosomal RNA
Source: RNAcentral
ACGCUACGUUCAGACGUUUGAUCCUGGCUCAGGAUGAACGCUAGCUACAGGCUUAACACAUGCAAGUCGAGGGGCAGCAUGGGCUUAGCUUGCUAAGCCCGAUGGCGACCGGCGCACGGGUGAGUAACACGUAUCCAACCUGCCGAUCACUCCGGUACAGCCUUUCGAAAGAAAGAUUAAUCCCGGAUGGCAUGGCGAUUCCGCAUGGUUUCUCCAUUAAAGGUUUUUUCCGGUGAUCGAUGGGGAUGCGUUCCAUUAGUUAGUUGGUGAGGUAACGGCUCACCAAGGCAUCGAUGGAUAGGGGAGCUGAGAGGCUUAUCCCCCACAUUGGGACUGAGACACGGCCCAA